RNAcentral lists this ribosomal RNA (253 nucleotides) under uncultured bacterium. Its description in RNAcentral is "partial 16S ribosomal RNA". It matches the Rfam family "Bacterial small subunit ribosomal RNA", at positions 524 to 776 of the family's 1533-position model. The record is from RNAcentral.
UACAGAGGUGGCAAGCGUUGUUCGGAAUUACUGGGCGUAAAGGGCGCGCAGGCGGCCCGGAAAGUCGGAUGUGAAAACUCGGGGCUCAACCCCGAGCGUGCACCCGAUACUGCCGGGCUUGAGGCAGGUAGGGGAGAUCGGAAUUCCUGGUGUAGCGGUGAAAUGCGCAGAUAUCAGGAGGAACACCGGUGGCGAAGGCGGAUCUCUGGGCCUGUCCUGACGCUGAGGCGCGAAAGCUAGGGGAGCGAACAGG